AACCCGACCGACCGGUAGAGUUCUCCCGUCCUACCUGGCAGGUGCGGGAAACCGGUGCGAAUCCGGUACGGUCGCGCCACUGUGAUCGCCACCACGGCGAGAGUCAGACCUCCCCUGCCGCGCAACUCUGG
RNAcentral lists this non-coding RNA (131 nucleotides) under Nocardia brasiliensis. The record is from RNAcentral. Lineage: Bacteria; Bacillati; Actinomycetota; Actinomycetes; Mycobacteriales; Nocardiaceae.